Molecule: long non-coding RNA, 654 nt
Filed under: Equus caballus (horse)
Lineage: Eukaryota; Metazoa; Chordata; Mammalia; Perissodactyla; Equidae
Description: lncRNA (ENSECAG00000044604.1)
Source: RNAcentral
CGCCUUUGAAGAAAGCUGAGUGCUGUGAUAGCCGAGCCAGACAGAGGAAAUCAACGGCACCCGCAUUGUGGCCAACUGUGUGUCCAGCACAGACACGCACAGGCAUUGACUCACCUGGAGGAAGAGUAAGGCCAAUCCCCCAAGGCCACCUGCCCAGAGAACAGCUAGACUUUCAUCCUGCAGGAGAAGGGGACAGGAAAAAGGAGCCUGCCGUUCUGGCGACUGUGCAGUCCCCUAGACAACAGAGACGGAGACACACUGCCCGAGGACAGACAGCUAGCAAGUCAAAGGGCGAGAUUCAAGCCGUGAUGGCCAGUUCCAGACAGAAGUGUUUAACCACUGCCCAUUCUCAGACAGAGCAAGGCUCCAUCUGCCAAAUUACACGGGGAAUAGGCAACUCAGGUGGCUGAAUUUGGUCCAAGACUUGCUUGCAUUGUAAGGCAUCACCGAGAAGCGAGGUUUCGGAGGAAACUGCUUUCCUCACACACCUCUGAUCAUUGGAAACCAUGAAUACUCAACAAGAAGAAGCUGAUCGCUGUGAACUGGCAAAUUAGCCUAGGUCAGGUCACAAGAAUGGGCAUCUUUAAAGUUUGCUUUAUUGUGUCAAUAUCCCCUUCAGUGCUAUUAAAUACCAAGGAAAAAAUGAAACGCAAC